Long non-coding RNA from Hirundo rustica (Barn swallow), 700 nucleotides. RefSeq lists it as uncharacterized. Lineage: Eukaryota; Metazoa; Chordata; Aves; Passeriformes; Hirundinidae. The transcript has 3 exons. The record is from RefSeq and is a predicted model, not a curated record.
CUGGGAUCAUCAUCCCAUCUUCGCCCCGCUGGGAUGUCACGCAGUCGCUGCCACACUGCUGGCGCUGCGGAGGUCACAGCUCGAAUCCUGUGUCCGACUCUGGAUCCAGCAUGGAAAGAAGAGAGGAUCCGUCUGUGCUGCCAGAACAGAGCCAGGAGCAACCUAAAAAUGCAACCUAAAUAUCCCAAGCUUCUCCACUCCACAAAAAGGGGAAGUGAGGCUGCUCUUUCAUGGAAUUCCAACUGCCUCGGGCACUGCAAUUAGCCUUUGGAAUAAGCAGCAAAUCCCAAUUUCCUUGGAUCGUGAUCUGCCACAAAAAUGGAAAAGAAAUGCCCAUGGGAUUUAAUUCCAGCAGCAGGGAUGAACCUCAAGGAGAAAGUGUCUGUGGGGGAUCUUCGAACAAAGAAUUUAUCCAAGCAGGAUCAUGCCCAGGAAUCUCCUGGAGAGCUGGAUGACUCUGACCUUUCCUGGCUAUAGGAACACCUGUUGUCACCACAAUUUUAAUUUCAUUGUUUCCAGUUCUUCUUCCACUUCUCCUUUUACUUCUGCUUCUUUUUUUUUACGGAGAAAACCGCCAAGCAAAGGGAGAAAACAUCCCAGCAAACACAGGAAAAGAAGGAAAACAGAAUGUGAUGGAGAUGGGGAAAAAAAAAAAAAAAAACAAUAAAUUUCUGCUCCAGAUUUUUUUUUUUCAGUAGCU